RNAcentral lists this ribosomal RNA (1016 nucleotides) under Phyllopsora borbonica. RNAcentral describes it as "LSU rRNA". It matches the Rfam family "Eukaryotic large subunit ribosomal RNA", at positions 1 to 1025 of the family's 3401-position model. Lineage: Eukaryota; Fungi; Ascomycota; Lecanoromycetes; Lecanorales; Ramalinaceae. The record is from RNAcentral.
AUUGACCUCGAAUCAGGUAGGGAUACCCGCUGAACUUAAGCAUAUCAAUAAGCGGAGGAAAAGAAACCAACAGGGAUUGCCUCAGUAACGGCGAGUGAAGCGGCAGCAGCUCAAAUUUGAAAUCCAGCCCCCGAAUGGAGGCUCGAGUUGUAAUUUGCAGAGGAUGUUUCGGGGGGGGGGGGCCGGUCGAAGUCCUUUGGAACAGGGCGUCGCAGAGGGUGAGAACCCCGUACGCGGCCAGCCACCCAUCCCCCCCGGGUGAAACUCCUUCGACGAGUCGAGUUGUUUGGGAAUGCAGCUCAAAAUGGGUGGUAAAUUUCAUCUAAGGCUAAAUACCGGCCAGAGACCGAUAGCGCACAAGUAGAGUGAUCGAAAGAUGAAAAGCACUUUGGAAAGAGGGUCAAACAGUACGUGAAAUUGUUGAAAGGGAAGCGCUUGCGAUCAGAUCGUGCCCGCGCGCGCUCAGCGGCGGUUUCCCGCCGUGCACUCGCGCGCGGUUAGGCCAGCAUCAGUUCUGGCGGCCGGAUAAAGGCCCGAGGAAGGUAGCUCCCUCCGGGGAGUGUUAUAGCUUGGGGUGGCAUGCGGUUGGCCGGGACUGAGGACUGCGCUCCGGCAAGGAUGCUGGCGUAAUGGUUGCAAGCGGCCCGUCUUGAAACACGGACCAAGGAGUCUAACAUCUAUGCAAGUGUUUGGGCGUGAAACCCAUGCGCGCAAUGAAAGUGAACGGAGGUCGGAGUCCCCAAGGAUGCACGAUCGACCGAUCCGGAAGUUUACGGAUGGAUUUGAGUAGGAGCAUAGCUGUUGGGACCCGAAAGAUGGUGAACUAUGCCUGAAUAGGGUGAAGCCAGAGGAAACUCUGGUGGAGGCUCGCAGCGGUUCUGACGUGCAAAUCGAUCGUCAAAUUUGGGUAUAGGGGCGAAAGACUAAUCGAACCAUUUAGUAGCUGGUUCCUGCCGAAGUUUCCCUCAGGAUAGCAGUAACGUUUUCAGUUUUAUGAGGUAAAGCGAAUGAUUAGG